GCUGGGCGCGGUGGCUCACGCCUGUAAUCCCAGCACUUUGGGAGGCUGAGGUGGGUGGAUCACCUGAGGUCGGGAGUUCAAGACCAGCCUGGCCAACACGGUGAAACCCCAUCUCUA
RNAcentral lists this non-coding RNA (117 nucleotides) under Nomascus leucogenys (northern white-cheeked gibbon). Lineage: Eukaryota; Metazoa; Chordata; Mammalia; Primates; Hylobatidae. The record is from Rfam by way of RNAcentral.